UGGCGGACGGGUGAGUAACGCGUGGGUAACCUGCCUCACACAGGGGGGAUAACAGUUGGAAACGACCGCUAAUACCGCAUAACCCGCUGGUAUCGCAUGAUACUGACGGAAAAGAUUUAUCGGUGUGAGAUGGACCCGCGUCUGAUUAGCCAGUUGGCAGGGUAACGGCCUACCAAAGCGACGAUCAGUAGCCGGCCUGAGAGGGUGAACGGCCACAUUGGGACUGAGACACGGCCCAAACUCCUACGGAAGGCAGCAG
This 259-nucleotide ribosomal RNA is filed under the name uncultured bacterium. RNAcentral describes it as "partial 16S ribosomal RNA". It matches the Rfam family "Bacterial small subunit ribosomal RNA", at positions 96 to 354 of the family's 1533-position model. The record is from RNAcentral.